UGACAUAGAAGCAAUGAGUAAACAUGCUCAAAAAUUUCUCCAGCAUGUUACCAGUUUCACAGGACCCCGCGAAAGGCUUUGCAAGUCACUGCAGUUCUGCUGUCUUUGCUAGAAUUUGGCCUUUAACCUGGUUGCUUUUGUUUGUUUUGAACUUCACCAGAACGGUCUUCGCAGUGCAGGACUUAAGCAUUGGAAUUGACCAUGCGUUCUGAACUCAUGAGGCUGAGCGAGGAGGAUUCUGACUUCACGGCAACCUGGGCUACAUAGUGAGAUCCCGUCUGUAUUCUCCUAUCGUGUGCACUGACCUGAAGUUGGAAUAUGGAAGAAACGGAUACGGCUCGGGCCACUAAGUACCGCUGAAGAGUGACUUGACUAGGGGAAGGCCUUCCCAACCGUCCCAGCUUCCACACGGACUGCCAGGCUGGCCCUUCACUCCCCCUCCCUUAAGCUCCUCCGCUCCCCAGUAGGAGAUCCAAUAAAGUAGGGGCUCAAGCAAUGCCCUCUUUUCAGCUGA
This is a long non-coding RNA of Meriones unguiculatus (Mongolian gerbil), 514 nucleotides long. RefSeq lists it as uncharacterized. The transcript is spliced from 3 exons. The record is from RefSeq and is a predicted model, not a curated record. Lineage: Eukaryota; Metazoa; Chordata; Mammalia; Rodentia; Muridae.